Molecule: long non-coding RNA, 4833 nt
Filed under: Nicotiana tabacum (common tobacco)
Lineage: Eukaryota; Viridiplantae; Streptophyta; Magnoliopsida; Solanales; Solanaceae
Description: long non-coding RNA (NTAB_LNC011583)
Source: RNAcentral
CAUUAUGGACAAGUAUUGGUACUUUCUUAUGAAUGGGAUUGUAUUUGAGGAGCAAUGUACUUUUGUUGCUCAAAUCUUCUUCUACAUACUCAAAAGGUAUGCCUUUGACUUUGAGAGCCAGUUGUACUCUGUUCACAUAGGGGCUAAUCCACAUUCCAUGUAGAGUGACCUUAUUUUCCUCUCCCAUUUUGGUCUCUCAGAUUGUUUCAGAGAAUUAAUUUACAUGUUUAAGUUUGUCAUAUAUAAAUUUCCUCAAACACUUCCUCCGACUCAGUCAUCCAAGGCUGGGCAAUUCUUUAGAAAUUUUUUAGUUUCACAAUAAGCGGAGACCAGAACUGUCUGUAGUCAAAUUUGACCAGAAUAUUUUAAAAGAAUUGACGUAUGUGAUAGGAGUAAUAUAAUAUGUUCUCUGCAUUUUUGACCUGCGAGCCGAUACUGAAUUAUGAUGAUAGCAAUGACCUCAGCUUCCCAUUUCUUGGGGCCAAAGUUUGCCAUAGUCUCCCUCCCCCCCUCCCCCCCCAUUUUUUUUCUUCUGGGGACGUGGAGAAUGGAGAUGGAGCUAGUUGACGGCAAAGUUACAGCGUUUCAAUUGAAUUUUUUUCGAAGAAAAUUACUCCUACAUCACUUUUACGUAAGACAAAAAUUCUCAAGUAUACAUUCAAAUUGUUGAAUUCCAUCGACAUGAGAAACUUUUAGUGAAAUGAUAAAUUACUUUAGGUUGUUGGUUUGAAUCUCAAGUCACACUCCAUCAUUUUCUGAAUCUCCUGGUUAGUGGCCAUGGCCAAAGUCAGGACCAUAAUUUUAACCAUGGAUAUUACUAAUACUAAAAUAAAAAGAAUUAAUUUGAUCGGGGAAUAACAAAAUUGAGACAGUCUCCCAAAGGGGCAGUGAUAUCCGCACUUCAGACAAAUAGACAAACUAGCUAGAGCCUCUGACUCUGAGGGAGAGAAUAAAAAUUGCGCACUGCUUGUACAAUUAAAUGAGGAAAGUCAUUUCCCCUAAUUUGAUAGAAAUAUCAGAAAAAUACUUGCUGAUGAAGAACAUUUUCUGGAUGAUGACUUUUUGUUGUAUGAACACACUCAAAAUGUAAUUAAGUAGCCUUUGGAAUCCAAAUCGUGAUCUUCCAAGUCAUUUUCCUUAAUGACGCACAUAUAUGAGGCGACGUGUUCGUUUGGAUCUGUCGUCCCGUUAUACUUCGCAAUCUCGGGCAUAUAGAACUUCUUUGGGAUUGGCUUCGGAGCUGCACUUGGGGGAAAAGGUUUUUGGCAAACUUUUUGGAAUCAAAUCCUUUCAAUACUGGUGGUGCCUCCGGAAUUUGGUUGACCCUGAAGUUAUAAGUUUCCACUUUCUUAUCAUUUUCCUCGAUCUUCUUUUCCCUGGUCUCGGUUCGCUUCAUCAGUUCCCUGAGCAAUUUUACGAUAGUGAUCUCUUUGGCACCGAUUCGGCUCUAUAAACAACUUCUUGGGAUGGAUCGAGCUCGAUCCUGCUUGGUGCACGAUUCUGAUUUUGGAGUUGUACUAUUGCAGCUUGUUGAGUCUGCAAUAUCUCGAAUAUCAUUCGAAGGCUAAUUCUGCCUUCUUCACCGCCCUAUGCAUCUGAUCGGCUGUUCGAGCAUCUCUGCGAAUGCUAUUUUCAGAUCGACGCCCAACUUCCCGUUAAUGGCAAUAUGGGAGCUGACGUCAAUUGGGUCUACGACCGGGGGUACAUCGGGGUUGAUUGGAGAUACUCUGUUUUCGGGGGCAGCUAUGUUAUCGUUUUCACCGUGGAAACCAAGGCCAUUGUCUGCCUGUGUGGGUGCUACUUGAGAGUUUGACAUGUUGAUCCUGAAAUCAAAGACACUUACAAAAACAAGUGUAAAGCAGAGCGUGUUAUGAGAAUUAAUACCAAGCAAUCACUAUUAUCCUUAGCCCCACGAUGGGCGCAAAACUGUUUACUCUUAAAACCGGAUCACAAUUAAACUUAUAAAUGGUUUUAAGGAUAUGUGAUUUCACUUGACACAAACUGAUAAAUAUAAGAACUAAUGCUAUGAAUUAAUAAUAAAAUAAAGCAAACCAGUGUGAUGAACAAUUAUGGCCCUUGAGCUAAUUGCUCUCGAACCAACUGAACACGUUAUUGAGAGUAUGAACUCGACAAUAGAACUUGCAAAAGAUAAAAGUGUGAUAUAAUGCUUUGAUAUGCGUGAAUGUAAGAUGGUUACAAAUGAUUGAAGCUCCUUUGUAUAGUAGAGAAAUUUCACCUAUGGUACAAUUCUAAUUACAGAAGGAAAUUACAUGAUUAGCUAAACAACCUUUCUUGAUUUAAACCGUUUCGAGAUUUCCACCAUGAUACUAGGCCAAUCACGGAUAUUUCGCCUUUCCGUAUUAUGCUAUCUUCGGUCUUGCUCGAUGUCUAUUUUGUUUGGCCUGGAUCAUCACUGAUCUCGAUCUCGACAGGUACUUCGAAUCCCGAACUCAGUACCUUAUCCUCAUAUCUCGGUCUCAGAUGCUACGGGGCCGAUCCUCGAUCCAUCCCUGUCGUCGGUUAAUCAGUAAAAUCGGACGGCCCCCGUCAAGACCGUAUACAAUACUACUUAUAAAUUUUCUCCAACACUUUCUCGAAUCUUCGUUUCAGUCAUUCAAGACCAGGCAAUUCUUUAGAAUUAUUUUUGUGUCACGGUAAGCUGGGACCAGUACUCACUUUAGUCAAAUUUGACAACAAUAUUCUAAAAGAAUUGACGUAUGUGAUAGGAGUAAUAUAUAUUAUGUUCUCUGCAUGCCGAUAAUGACUUGUGGUGAUAGCAAUGACCUUAGCUGCCCAUUUCUUGGGGCCAAAGUUUGCCAAAGUGGCGUGAAAGCAAAGGAAAGGCCGGAAAGAAAUAAUAGUCUUUUCCCUUUUGUUUUCUGGUGACGUGGAGAUGGAGCUAGUUGACGGCAAAGUUACAGUGUAUCAAGGGGUUCAAUUGAAUUUUUUUGGAAGAAAAUUACAUUACUUUUACGUAAGAAAAAAAUUCUUAAGUAUACAUUCAAAUUGUUGAAUUCCAUCGAAACAUGAGAAACUUUUAGUGUAAUGAUAAAUUACUUUAGGUUGUUGGUUUGAAUCUCAAGUCACACUCCAUCAGUUUCUGAAUCUCCUGGUUAGUGGCUAUGUCCAAAGUCAGGACCAAAAUUUUAACCAUGGAUAUUACUUAAUACUAAAAUGAAGAGAAUUAAUUUGAUCGGGGAAUAACAAAAUCGAGGCAGUCUCCCAAAGGGGCAGUGAGGGAGAGAAUAAAAAUUGCGCACUGUUUGUACAAUUAAAUGAGGAAAGUCAUUUCCCCUAAUUUGAUAGAAAUAUCCGAAAAAUACUUGCUCAUGAAGAACAUUUUCUGGAUGAUGAUUUUUUGUUGUAUAAACACACUGAAAAUGUAAUUAAGUAGCCUUUGGAAUCCAAAUGGGCAUAAGCCUUAUUAUACAAUACAGAGGAAAGACAUUCAGUACAAUUAAUGAGUGAGUGAGUACACACAACAUACAGAGAUCAACAUUAAAAAAGCUCAAUUGGCCGGAGAUUUGAAGACCAUUUCUUUGAGAAAAUGAAGAAAUGAAACAACCUUGUCAUGAGGUGGAGUGAUUUCUUUAACUAUAGGCAGCUCAAUUAAACUACUCAACCCUGAGCAUAACAAAGGUGUUUUGUCUGGAUCCAAUAUCUUCACACCAAACACUUGCUCUUGUACUUUGUAUGCCCCUAGUGUUAUAAUGAUCAUGAUAUCUAGCAACCCCAUAUUCCUUCCUUCUAUAUUAGUGUUGAUACCCAGGGAGGAAUUCUUGAUUCCAUCUUCCAGCACGUUCAGUUUCUCAUAAAAUUCCUCUAAUGCUUUUUCUUCCCCUUUGAAGACCUUGAGCAUGCAUUCAGUCACCUACGCAUAAGAGUGUCAAUGGUCAAUAAAAAUCAAUUGAAUCAAUGGAAAUGAGCCUUAUCCAACUAAUUAUUUAGUAGUUCUUUUAAAGUAAAAUCAUAAGUUUCAGUUUAUAUAUAUAUAUAUAUACCAAAUAAUUAGGAUAAGUUUUUAAUUUUAUGACAGAAAUCGAUCCAUAAUAUAUAUCUUAAUUAAGUAAUUAUUCAACCAAAUAUUUGUGUUGAUAUAGAGGGUUUAAGUGUUAGAUUUUAAAAUAUAGGGUGUGUACGUAUGUGCAGUUAAGUCAUAUUAGAGAAGUAUUUAGUGUAAUUUGUCCUUUUUUGUUUUGGUAAUAAAGGUAAAUAUUAUACAUAACUAAGCAUGCGUACAGAGUGACUGGUACGUAAUUUGUCAUUUUCUUACCUCAACCCCGUUCCUUUAUUUUACCUUAGGAUAGACUAAAUAGGCAAAACUAAUACACAGUAUACACAUCAUCCAUGAAUGAAUUUUUUUGAACAAUGUGAAAAUGGCUAGAAAGAAAGAAUGAAUUUUGUGACAUGAAUUACCUGUUGGAUGUAAGAAGCCCAGAACCGGACUCUGGAUCUUUCAUAAGGAUCUUCAGGCAAGAGUCGAGGUUCAUUCUUCCAUGUUUCAUCAAUGUAUUCAAUAAUGACAAAUGACUCCGAUACUGGCUUUCCAUUAUGGACAAGUACUGGUACUUUCUUAUGAAUGGGAUUGUAUUUGAGGAGCAAUAUACUUUUGUUGCUCAAAUCUUCUUCUAUAUACUCAAAAGGUAUGCCUUUGACUUUGAGAGCCAAUUCUACUCUCUUCACAUAAGGGCUAGCCCACAUUCCAUGUAGAAUGACCUUAUUUUCCUCUCCCAUUUUGGUCUCUCAGAUUGUUUCAGAAUGGAGAUGCUUAUGUUUAAAGUCGUCAUAUAUAAAUUCUUUACAUCUUUUUGGCUUACCACUUGGCCACAAUUG